GACGAACGCUGGCGGCGUGCUUAACACAUGCAAGUCGAACGGAAAGGCCUGCUUUCCCUUGUGGAUUGCGGGUACUCGAGUGGCGAACGGGUGAGUAACACGUGAGUGAUCUGCCCCCAACUUGGGUAUAAGCCUGGGAAACUGGGUCUAAUUCCCGAUAGGACUGCAGGGUGGUGCCUGUGGUGGAAAACGAUUUUCUAGUGGUUGGGGAUGAGCUCGCGGCCUAUCAGCUUGUUGGUGGGGUAAUGGCCUACCAAGGCGGCGACGGGUAGCCGGCCCGAGAGGGUGGACGGCCACAUUGGGACUGAGAUACGGCCCAGACUCCUACGGGAGGCAGCAGUGGGGAAUAUUGCACAAUGGGCGGAAGCCUGAUGCAGCGACGCCGCGUGGGGGAUGACGGCCUUCGGGUUGUAAACUCCUUUCGACCGCGAGGAAGCCACCUGGUUGGAAGGGUGGUGACGGUAGUGGUAGAAGAAGCACCGGCUAACUACGUG
RNAcentral lists this ribosomal RNA (494 nucleotides) under uncultured bacterium. RNAcentral describes it as "partial 16S ribosomal RNA". It matches the Rfam family "Bacterial small subunit ribosomal RNA", at positions 28 to 507 of the family's 1533-position model. The record is from RNAcentral.